This 301-nucleotide ribosomal RNA is filed under the name uncultured bacterium. RNAcentral's name for it is "partial 16S ribosomal RNA". It matches the Rfam family "Bacterial small subunit ribosomal RNA", at positions 509 to 809 of the family's 1533-position model. The record is from RNAcentral.
CAGUCGCCACGGUAAUACGAAGGGGGCUAGCGUUGCUCGGAAUGACUGGGCGUAAAGGGCGCGUAGGCGGCGGCCAAAGUCAGGCGUGAAAUUCCCGGGCUCAACCUGGGGGCUGCGUUUGAUAUUUGGUUGCUUGAGUGGGGAAGAGGGUCGUGGAAUUCCCAGUGUAGAGGUGAAAUUCGUAGAUAUUGGGAAGAACACCGGUGGCGAAGGCGGCGACCUGGUCCUUUACUGACGCUGAGGCGCGAAAGCGUGGGGAGCAAACAGGAUUAGAUACCCGGGUAGUCCCUGUCUCUUAUAA